GAAAUUUAGAUCUUUCCCCAUUGUUUUACUCGCACUAGGAAAGAAGAAGACUCCUGCCAUUUCAGUUAAGUGGAAUUAUUGGUUGUAAGAUCCAAGCUGAUUUCAGACAUAUUAAAACAUGAAUAAAACUUUGUCAUCGAAUCAGUAAUACAGGGGAUCAUGAGCAGAGGUAUUAUUCUCAAGGCUGUCAUGUACUGGACCUUUCUUGGAUCUGCAGUGUGGCAGUGUGGCAUGCGGCAUUCAAGAUGGGGAACAACUUUGCUGAGUCCUUGCUGUCUAUUCCACCAAAGCAGCAACGUGUCCCGUUCAGCUCAUAUCCAGGAAAAGAUCCACACUGAAGUAACAUCUGUGACAAAUGAAGUCAUGAGGUCUUCCAUGUACUGCUCUUUCCUUGUCUCAAGCACAUUCAUGUUAGAGGACAAAACCUCCCUAGAAGCAGCCAACCGAAAGGGUUUUCUGAUGGGAGAUAAUGUUGAACAUUUUGCUUUGUGACUUGAAUUUACAAUGUUCUGUCUGGAACUAAUUAUUAAUUGAAGAACUUUAUUUUUUGCCUGUUUUUCAUGUUCAUCCAGAAGAUUUAGCUCUGUCUCAAUAGAUAAAAUAUUCCAUACACUUAUGCAUUAAAAAUAUUUUAAUUAUUG
Molecule: long non-coding RNA, 641 nt
Organism: Heterocephalus glaber (naked mole-rat)
Lineage: Eukaryota; Metazoa; Chordata; Mammalia; Rodentia; Bathyergidae
Source: Ensembl